CUUUGAAAAAAUUAAGAAGUGUUUAAAGCAGGCGCACGCUUGAAUACAUUAGCAUGGAUAAUGAAUAGGACGUUUGAUUCUAUUUUGUUGGUUUCUAGGAUCGACGUAAUGAUUAAUAGGGAUAGUUGGGGGCAUUAGUAUUCAAUUGUCAGAGGUGAAAUUCUUGGAUUUAUUGAAGACUAACUACCGCGAAAAGCAUUUUGCCAAGGAUGUUUUCAUUAAUCAAGAACGAAAGUUAGGGGAUCGAAGACGAUCAGAUACCGUCGUAGUCUUAACCAUAAACUAUGCCGACUAGGGAUCGGAUGAUGUUAAUUUUUUAAUGACUCAUUCGGCGCCUUACG
This 341-nucleotide ribosomal RNA is filed under the name uncultured Glomus. Its description in RNAcentral is "SSU rRNA". It matches the Rfam family "Eukaryotic small subunit ribosomal RNA", at positions 755 to 1092 of the family's 1831-position model. Lineage: Eukaryota; Fungi; Glomeromycota; Glomeromycetes; Glomerales; Glomeraceae. The record is from RNAcentral.